UACAGAGGGUGCAAGCGUUGUUCGGAAUUAUUGGGCGUAAAGGGAGCGUAGGCGGUUUGCCAAGGGGAAUGUGAAAACUCUGGGCUUAACCCAGAGCCUGCAUUCAAUACUGGCAGGCUAGAGUUCUGGAGGGGAUAGCGGAAUUCCUGGUGUAGCGGUGAAAUGCGUAGAUAUCAGGAGGAACACCGGUGGCGAAGGCGGCUAUCUGGACAGAGUCUGACGCUGAGGCGCGAAAGCUAGGGGAGCAAACAGG
RNAcentral lists this ribosomal RNA (253 nucleotides) under uncultured bacterium. RNAcentral's name for it is "partial 16S ribosomal RNA". It matches the Rfam family "Bacterial small subunit ribosomal RNA", at positions 524 to 776 of the family's 1533-position model. The record is from RNAcentral.